This 236-nucleotide ribosomal RNA is filed under the name uncultured bacterium. RNAcentral's name for it is "partial 16S ribosomal RNA". It matches the Rfam family "Bacterial small subunit ribosomal RNA", at positions 1256 to 1500 of the family's 1533-position model. The record is from RNAcentral.
AGUGAUGGCAUGCGAAUCUCGAAAGCCUAUCUCAGUUCGGAUUGGAGGCUGAAACCCGCCUCCAUGAAGUUGGAUUCGCUAGUAAUCGCGCAUCAGCCAUGGCGCGGUGAAUACGUUCCCGGGCCUUGUACACACCGCCCGUCAAGCCAUGGGAGCCGGGGGUGCCUGAAGUUCGUUACCGUAAGGAUCGACCUAGGGCAAAACUGGUGACUGGGGCUAAGUCGUAACAAGGUAUC